Long non-coding RNA from Cygnus atratus (black swan), 1587 nucleotides. RefSeq lists it as uncharacterized. NCBI's taxonomy places the organism in Eukaryota, Metazoa, Chordata, Aves, Anseriformes, Anatidae. The transcript is spliced from 4 exons. The record is from RefSeq and is a predicted model, not a curated record.
AAAUGGUAAUGCUACAUUGAUACCAUGAAGAAGAGAUACCACUACUGAGAAGUGCUUCUAUUGUGUUUCAGUUCCAGCUUUGUUAUCUACUUGAACUCUAUUUCAAUCUCUAUAUACAAGAAUAAGGUUUUCUUCUCGCUUUGGAGACAAGCCAGAGCCUUUUAACAACACAUUAUGCUGGUGACUGGGUAGUUCCGGGGGCUAAUGAGGAGACAGAAAAUCACAGUGAACCCAGUGACCAUUUCAAAUCCAAAUCAGUGCCACUCUGGGUAGAGCCGUCAUUCUGCCUCCCAAGCACCUGUUCAGGAAGAGAUCUUAAAACACAUUGUUUCAUGUAAAAAACAUUCAGUCUUUGGCUUCCGGAAGCUGAUGUAGAAGGACAGCACUGCUCUUCCUUAGUUUACAGACCAGUUUGGCCACACAGCUUGCUAGGACUGUGCACAGGAAGGAGGGGGCCCAUAUAAAGGAGGGGUCAGGCUGCUUGUGACACAGAGGAUCAGCAUGCACAUGACUGAAGAGGAGGAAAAGGAAAACACUGCCAUAAAAGUGACAGUAGGGAUGAAGAAUUGUCGUGAAUGUGUAAUGCACCCCUGAAAAGAUGCAGGAGAAAACAUACCAAGCUGGAAGUCUUAUCAUAUCUGGAGUCUCACUAUUCCAAAGCAGGAAUUAAUUUAAAGAGAAGAAGCUGCUGCUCUUGUUGGCUGACAUCGCUUGUUCAUAAACACAGGAAAGAAAAACACUGAAGUGAUAUGGUUACCAUAAUUACUAUCUUUGUUCAAAAAACAUGGUGGUUUUCCACCCUGAAUUCAGUUCAAGCAGCCGUUGCAGCUAGUACCAGCCAGGAGCUAAUGCCACACACUGCAGCUACUCUGGCAGCAAAUGCAGUAAACCUUGCACUUCAAACGCACCAUACAGGAUGUCAAGGCAUACUACAGAUACAGGAGCACAGAAGUAUUAUCUACUGUUGCUGUUACAAUGAAUUUGUGUGUAGCUAACCAAGGAUACAUUGCCAAACCAAGCCUGGCAAAUGCAUGCCACUCCAAUAGCAAAGAAAGCCCAUAGAGUGUAGAUUCUAAACAUGGGGUUUCUGUGAAGGCUCAACCUUGGCAUUUAAUUAGUUGAGCCCUAUUUGGAGGGCAUGCUGUGGCACUAGGUUGGAAAUUGACAGGUCGAAGAAAUAAACAGGAUCAUUUUAAGCCAAAGUCAUCACCAAAUGCAAUACUGCUGUGUAAAAGGGAUAUCAAAUCAGGGUAAUCAAGCCCAGCCGUGUCAGCCUCUUGUCUUGCUGUGGCUGCCCAGGGGAUAGGCUCAGGACAAGGCUUUCCCAGCUGGAGGAGGCAGUGAAGCCCUGGUUAAACAGGUAUCUGUUUGGUUUUGGAUAAAGCUUAAAGCAAAGCUGCUUAAAUGAGUUGCUGAGUUGAUGAAACCUUGCAGUUCUGGUUGCUGGUCUCCUCCUUUCUCACUUCGUUUUGCUGCAGUAACUGGUCUGUCUUGGUAGAUUUGUUUGUAAAUGCUCAUUUACAGUUUACCCUAAUUUAAAAAUUGAAGGGGGGAAAGCUUUUAAGCCAAAACAGUUUUCGAACCUCU